Molecule: ribosomal RNA, 358 nt
Filed under: uncultured Smithella sp.
Lineage: Bacteria; Pseudomonadati; Thermodesulfobacteriota; Syntrophia; Syntrophales; Smithellaceae
Description: bacterial SSU rRNA
Rfam family: Bacterial small subunit ribosomal RNA
Source: RNAcentral
GGACAGGGAGACAGGUGGUGCGAUGGUUGUCGUCAGCUCGUGUCGUGAGAUGUUGGGUUAAGUCCCGCAACGAGCGCAACCCUUAUCUUUAAUUGCCAGCAUUCAGUUGGGCACUUUAAAGAGACUGCCGGUGUUAAACCGGAGGAAGGUGGGGAUGACGUCAAGUCCUCAUGGCCUUUAUGCUUAGGGCUACACACGUGCUACAAUGGGUGGUACAAAGAGAAGCCAACUCGCGAGAGCGCGCCAAUCUCAAAAAGCCAUCCUCAGUUCGGAUUGGAGUCUGCAACUCGACUCCAUGAAGUUGGAAUCGCUAGUAAUCGCGGAUCAGCAUGCCGCGGUGAAUACGUUCCCGGGCCUU